GCAGCCAGCUCCGUGGGGGAGAGGCUGCGCUUCCAUGGGUGCGGGCGCUGGCUCUCCCUUCCCUGGGCUGGACCCAGCCUGUCUGAACGAUGGCACAGCUCCAGCUUUCCUUACAUCAAGAGAGGAAAAUAUUUUGGAAAGGGGCUAAAUAGAACUUAAUUUGCCAUGUGGUUGGAAUUAACAGAGAGCACUUCCCACCAGCCUUUGAAGGGCUUGGUGGUUGAGGCCUUGCUCUCUCUGCCUUAGUUCAAAGCCUCGUCGUCAGGGCCUGUGGACAUCCCAGGCUGGGCCGGAGCCCGCAUAGCACAUUGUGGCACGUGACAGUCACAUGAUUUCUGCAUUGAACCCCAAAGCUUCCACCAGCUUUCCUGGAACCUACGGCCAGAAGAGUCCUGAGAUUUCAAAUAUUAAAGCUUUCUCCACAGCC
RNAcentral lists this long non-coding RNA (427 nucleotides) under Homo sapiens (human). Its description in RNAcentral is "HSALNT0039571". Lineage: Eukaryota; Metazoa; Chordata; Mammalia; Primates; Hominidae. The record is from RNAcentral.